UUAUUUGAGAGUUUGAUCCUGGCUCAGGAUGAACGCUGGCGGCGUGCCUAACACAUGCAAGUUGAGCGAUUUACUUCGGUAAAGAGCGGCGGACGGGUGAGUAACGCGUGGGUAACCUACCCUGUACACACGGAUAACAUACCGAAAGGUAUGCUAAUACGGGAUAAUAUAUUUGAGAGGCAUCUCUUGAAUAUCAAAGGUGAGCCAGUACAGGAUGGACCCGCGUCUGAUUAGCUAGUUGGUAAGGUAACGGCUUACCAAGGCGACGAUCAGUAGCCGACCUGAGAGGGUGAUCGGCCACAUUGGAACUGAGACACGGUCCAAACUCCUACGGGAGGCAGCAGUGGGGAAUAUUGCACAAUGGGCGAAAGCCUGAUG
Molecule: ribosomal RNA, 378 nt
Filed under: Clostridioides difficile
Lineage: Bacteria; Bacillati; Bacillota; Clostridia; Peptostreptococcales; Peptostreptococcaceae
Description: bacterial SSU rRNA
Rfam family: Bacterial small subunit ribosomal RNA
Source: RNAcentral